RNAcentral lists this ribosomal RNA (465 nucleotides) under Vreelandella stevensii. RNAcentral's name for it is "partial 16S ribosomal RNA". It matches the Rfam family "Bacterial small subunit ribosomal RNA", at positions 338 to 795 of the family's 1533-position model. The record is from RNAcentral. Lineage: Bacteria; Pseudomonadati; Pseudomonadota; Gammaproteobacteria; Oceanospirillales; Halomonadaceae.
CCUACGGGUGGCAGCAGUGGGGAAUAUUGGACAAUGGGGGGAACCCUGAUCCAGCCAUGCCGCGUGUGUGAAGAAGGCCCUCGGGUUGUAAAGCACUUUCAGUGAGGAAGAACGCCUGGUGGUUAAUACCCAUCAGGAAAGACAUCACUCACAGAAGAAGCACCGGCUAACUCCGUGCCAGCAGCCGCGGUAAUACGGAGGGUGCGAGCGUUAAUCGGAAUUACUGGGCGUAAAGCGCGCGUAGGUGGCUUGAUAAGCCGGUUGUGAAAGCCCCGGGCUCAACCUGGGAACGGCAUCCGGAACUGUCAAGCUAGAGUGCAGGAGAGGAAGGUAGAAUUCCCGGUGUAGCGGUGAAAUGCGUAGAGAUCGGGAGGAAUACCAGUGGCGAAGGCGGCCUUCUGGACUGACACUGACACUGGGGUGCGAAAGCGUGGGUAGCAAACAGGAUUAGAUACCCCUGUAGUC